Long non-coding RNA from Tympanuchus pallidicinctus (lesser prairie-chicken), 1452 nucleotides. RefSeq lists it as uncharacterized. Lineage: Eukaryota; Metazoa; Chordata; Aves; Galliformes; Phasianidae. The transcript is spliced from 3 exons. The record is from RefSeq and is a predicted model, not a curated record.
ACGCCGGGGCGGUGAGGCGGAGCGGCGGCCGCCGCCCCCGGGGCCGCGGGCGGGAAACGGGGCGCGCGGAGGGGGUCGCGCCGCCGGGCGUGGGCGUGGAGGAGGGGCCGGAGGCGGCGCGGACAACGGGCGCCUUCCUCCUCCCGCAGCCGCCGCGGCGACACCGGGCCCGAGGGCGGUGGGAGUCGGGGCGGGGCGGGCCUCCCUCCGCUCCGCGCCCUCGGGGGACGCUUCCCUCCCCCGCCGCCAUUUGCUGGGCCUCGGCAGGGCGGGAGCCGGCGGCCCCAGGGAUCGCGAACCCCGGGAGACCGUGCCGCGAUGGCAAAUACAGCGGGAUGCCGCGGUAGCAGAGCACGCCAGUUAGAAACGCUCGCGAAUACCCACUGAACUUUAAGUCCCGGGCCUCGGUUGUUCGGCAACGGCUUAAUUAAAGACACGCUGUCAUCCCGAGAGCCGGUUUGUCUUUAUCGUUCCAGAUAACGAUAUCGUUCCAGCUCCAGAUGCGGCAGCUGCCCCCCGUUUCCCGUGUUUGUGCAGGCGGCGGGUGGCUGAUCUGUGCUGCACCAAAGCCUCAGCAACAGCAUGGCGAACAGCAAGCCCGAUGGAGGCAGGGAGAAAAACGUGACUGCACAAAGAGGCUGGGGGAGCGCGGAGUAAAAUCCCUCUCUCGGGAAAUGAGUCUGUGGGAGGAUGGAAGCCCUAGGACAGAGACUGAGGGAAGACUUUCAACACUCCUUGUACUGAGAAAAACCUUAUCUCUAACAUUAAGAAUUUGUCCUGCCUUUUUGACCAGGCAACCCUUAGGUCACUUAGAGAAAGAAAACCUGUAAUGAGCAGAGGAGAGACAAGCAAGAGGGAAAAUGCUUUGUUCACAGAUUUUUUCAUGACAGAAGCAGUUGAACCAGGUCUAAUAUCUCCUCUGAGAUCACAGGAAUAUGAUGCACAGAAGAAAGGUUGCUUGCUGCUUUUACUCUGAAUGAAAAAAAUCAUGAAUUGCAACAGCUUCUCAGACAGCAUACAGACGAGGUUGUCACCUCUGCAAUUUGAGGAACUCACUGUGUGAACAGCUCAUCUGAUAAUACUAGACAACAGGUAACCAAGGUUUUAUCUUAGUCACCAGAGAUCUUGACGUUUAUGAAAAACAGAACUGGGAUGAAAAUACUUUCCUCCUAUGGAAUUUUGUUUUUCUCUGACAAAAAUUACAUAAUCAUCUUAUAAAUAAAUGUGAAGGUUAAUAAAAGAUUUUAGGUUCAAUUAUUUUUUUUUUCCCCAUCAUAGGAGGACCAAACACCCAACAACCAUCAUAAGGUGUUUUCUUUGUAGAUGUCAGGCUUCUAAGUUGUCAAGAUAAUUACCUGAAAGGAGGUCGUAACAAGGUGGAGGUCAGCCUCUUUUUCCAGGUAACAGAAAUAGGAUGAGAAGUAACAGCCUUUAAAGUUGCACAAGGAGAGG